This 349-nucleotide unclassified non-coding RNA is filed under the name Hevea brasiliensis (rubber tree). Lineage: Eukaryota; Viridiplantae; Streptophyta; Magnoliopsida; Malpighiales; Euphorbiaceae. The record is from RNAcentral.
AAAAAAACUUUGAAAAUACCUGACAUAAUACAGCACAAAAACAAGUAAAAGUACAGUUGUAGACAAUCUGACAACUGCUAUUCCUCUCUAUUUUCUGUCGGCUAAUAGUUUUUACUAUAGGUUUAAGUCUGAAUAGAUUUCAUCAAAUGCCAAACAUGUACAUUAAUUAUAAGUUUGGACAUUUGUGCUGGGAUAUAUGAUCAUUGGAAUUCUAGCUUAUACCAAAAACUUUGUUGAAUAGUUGAAUCUCUAUGGAAUAUGUUGACAUUAAAUGAAUUGAAGAUCAAGUGUAAUUGUCAAUUCAAUGCUGAAAUCUUUGGCAGCAUGGAUGUCGCUGCUGAAUUUAUUU